RNAcentral lists this ribosomal RNA (527 nucleotides) under Staphylococcus aureus. Its description in RNAcentral is "bacterial SSU rRNA". It matches the Rfam family "Bacterial small subunit ribosomal RNA", at positions 220 to 739 of the family's 1533-position model. Lineage: Bacteria; Bacillati; Bacillota; Bacilli; Caryophanales; Staphylococcaceae. The record is from RNAcentral.
UAUAGAUGGAUCCGCGCUGCAUUAGCUAGUUGGUAAGGUAACGGCUUACCAAGGCAACGAUGCAUAGCCGACCUGAGAGGGUGAUCGGCCACACUGGAACUGAGACACGGUCCAGACUCCUACGGGAGGCAGCAGUAGGGAAUCUUCCGCAAUGGGCGAAAGCCUGACGGAGCAACGCCGCGUGAGUGAUGAAGGUCUUCGGAUCGUAAAACUCUGUUAUUAGGGAAGAACAUAUGUGUAAGUAACUGUGCACAUCUUGACGGUACCUAAUCAGAAAGCCACGGCUAACUACGUGCCAGCAGCCGCGGUAAUACGUAGGUGGCAAGCGUUAUCCGGAAUUAUUGGGCGUAAAGCGCGCGUAGGCGGUUUUUUAAGUCUGAUGUGAAAGCCCACGGCUCAACCGUGGAGGGUCAUUGGAAACUGGAAAACUUGAGUGCAGAAGAGGAAAGUGGAAUUCCAUGUGUAGCGGUGAAAUGCGCAGAGAUAUGGAGGAACACCAGUGGCGAAGGCGACUUUCUGGUCUGUAA